RNAcentral lists this ribosomal RNA (403 nucleotides) under uncultured bacterium. RNAcentral's name for it is "partial 16S ribosomal RNA". It matches the Rfam family "Bacterial small subunit ribosomal RNA", at positions 30 to 526 of the family's 1533-position model. The record is from RNAcentral.
AUUGAACGCUGGCGGCAGGCCUAACACAUGCAAGUCGAGCGAGCGGCGGACGGGUGAGUAAUGUAUGGGGACUGCCCGAUAGAGGGGGAUAACUACUGGAAACGGUAGCUAAUACCGCAUACUAUCGGAUAACCCAUAUGGGAUUAGCUAGUAGGUGAGGUAAUGGCUCAACUAGGCGACGAUCCCUAGCUGGUCUGAGAGGAUGAUCAGCCACACUGGAACUGAGAAACGGCCCAGACUCCUACGGAGGCAGAAGUGGGGAAUAUUGCACAAGGGGCGCAAGCCUGAUGCAGCCAUCCCGCGUGUAUUAUGAAGGCCUUCGGAUGGUAAAGGACUUUUGGCAGAGAAGCGGUAUCUGCAGAAUAAGCACCGGCUAACUACGUGCCAGCAGCCGCGGUAAUAC